UACGGGGGGGGCAAGCGUUGUUCGGAAUUACUGGGCGUAAAGGGCGCGUAGGCGGUUGGAUAAGUCAGCUGUGAAAACCACGGGCUUAACUCGUGGCCUGCAGUUGAGACUGUCUGGCUUGAGUGUGGGAGAGGAGAGUGGAAUUCCUGGUGUGGCGGUGAAAUGCGUAGAUAUCAGGAGGAACACCGGUGGCGAAGGCGGCUCUCUGGACCACAACUGACGCUGAGGCGCGAAAGCUAGGGGAGCAAACAGG
This 253-nucleotide ribosomal RNA is filed under the name uncultured bacterium. Its description in RNAcentral is "partial 16S ribosomal RNA". It matches the Rfam family "Bacterial small subunit ribosomal RNA", at positions 524 to 776 of the family's 1533-position model. The record is from RNAcentral.